GGAACCUGUUUUUUAAUCGAUAAGCCACGAAUAAUCUUACUUGCUAAAUUUAAUCUAAGUUUGUAUACCGUCAUUAUCAGAUAAUAUUUGAAGAUUCAUUAUUAAAUUUUAAAUAGUAAGAAAAAUUAGAUCAAGGUGCAGCUUAUAAGCAAGAUAAAAUGGGUUACAAUUAAAUAAAUAUAAAAUGAAAUUCAGCUUGAAAAAGGUGAAGGAAGGAGGAUUUGAUUGUAAAGGGAAUUARUAAGACAAAAAGAUAUAAGCUCUAAAUUGUGUACAUAUGGCCCGUCGC
This 289-nucleotide ribosomal RNA is filed under the name Teleophrys cristulipes. Its description in RNAcentral is "partial small subunit ribosomal RNA". The record is from RNAcentral. Lineage: Eukaryota; Metazoa; Arthropoda; Malacostraca; Decapoda; Mithracidae.